GCACUGGGGGUUCAGCUAGAAUUCUUGUCUUCCAUGUGGGAGGCCCAGGUUCAAUUCCUGGCCAAUGUG
Molecule: transfer RNA, 69 nt
Filed under: Loxodonta africana (African savanna elephant)
Lineage: Eukaryota; Metazoa; Chordata; Mammalia; Proboscidea; Elephantidae
Rfam family: tRNA
About the family: Transfer RNA (tRNA) molecules are approximately 80 nucleotides in length.
Source: Rfam by way of RNAcentral